GAGAGAGGUAAUACACGAUAAGAACUGCUAAUUCAUAUACCUGAGACUAACCUCUCAGCUCUCUCA
Molecule: transfer RNA, 66 nt
Filed under: Glyptemys insculpta (wood turtle)
Lineage: Eukaryota; Metazoa; Chordata; Testudines; Emydidae
Description: tRNA-Ser
Source: RNAcentral